GACAGGGGAUGCAAGCGUUACUCGGAAUUACUGGGCGUAAAGCGUCUGCAGGCGUCCUGAAAAGUCUGGUGUAAAAUUUCGGAGCUCAACUCCGGAGUCGUGCCGGAAACUCUCAGGAUCGAGUCACUCAGAGGCACCUGGAAUGUCGUGUGUAGGGGUAAAAUCCGUUGAUCCACGAUGGAACGCCAAAAGCGAAGGCAGGGUGCUGGGGGUGUACUGACGCUCAGAGACGAAAGCGUGGGGAG
RNAcentral lists this ribosomal RNA (245 nucleotides) under uncultured bacterium. RNAcentral's name for it is "partial 16S ribosomal RNA". It matches the Rfam family "Bacterial small subunit ribosomal RNA", at positions 524 to 768 of the family's 1533-position model. The record is from RNAcentral.